GUCAGUGUGGUGUAGUGGUUUGAAAGCUGGACUAUGACUCUAGAGACUAGUGUUCGAAUCCCCACUCAGCCA
Molecule: non-coding RNA, 72 nt
Organism: Phrynosoma platyrhinos (Desert horned lizard)
Lineage: Eukaryota; Metazoa; Chordata; Lepidosauria; Squamata; Phrynosomatidae
Source: the annotation of a GenBank genome assembly